CUGAUCUGUAGAGGUUAAACAACACAACUCAAUCUGAUCUGUAGAGGUAAAACAACACAACUCAAUCUGAUCUGUUGAGGAGGUGAAACAACACAACUCAAUCUGAUCUGUAGAGGUAAAACAACACAACUCAAUCUGAUCUGUAAAGGUAAAACAACACAACUCAAUCUGAUCUGUUGAGGUUAAACAACACAACUCAAUCUGAUCUGUAGAGGAGGUGAAACAACACAACUCAAUCUGAUCUGUAGAGGAGGUAAAACAACACUACUCAAUCUGAUCUGUAGAGGUAAAACAACACAACUCAAUCUGAUCUGUAGAGGAGGUUAAACAACACAACUCAAUCUGAUCUGUAGAGGAGGUUAAACAACACAACUCAAUCUGAUCUGUAGAGGUGAAACAACACUACUCAAUCUGAUCUGUAGAGGAGGUUAAACAACACAACUCAAUCUGAUCUGUAGAGGUGAAACAACACAACUCAAUCUGAUCUGUAGAGGUAAAACAACACAACUCAAUCUGAUAUGUAGAGGAGGUUAAACAACACUACUCAAUCUGAUCUGUAGAGGAGGUUAAACAACACAACUCAAUCUGAUCUGUAGAGGAGGUUAAACAA
Oncorhynchus keta (chum salmon) is the source of this 610-nucleotide long non-coding RNA. RefSeq lists it as uncharacterized. NCBI's taxonomy places the organism in Eukaryota, Metazoa, Chordata, Actinopteri, Salmoniformes, Salmonidae. The record is from RefSeq and is a predicted model, not a curated record. The transcript has 3 exons.